UUUCCGUAGGUGAACCUGCGGAGGGAACAUUAUUGUAUAACCGAGGUGCGAGGGCUGUCGCUGACCCGAGGGGUCGUGCACGCCCGAGUGCCCUCACACACAUCCAUCUCACCCCUAUGUGCACCACCGCGUGGGUCCCCCUUUGGCUUGUUCGGAGGGGGGCUUACGUUUUCACAAAAACUUUGUAUGCAGUGUAGAAUGUAUUUUUUGUUUUUGCGAUCACGCAAUCAAUACAACUUUCAACAACGGAUCUCUUGGCUCUC
This 263-nucleotide unclassified non-coding RNA is filed under the name plant metagenome. RNAcentral describes it as "partial contains small subunit ribosomal RNA, internal transcribed spacer 1, and 5.8S ribosomal RNA". The record is from RNAcentral.